GCCUCGGCAGUCUAAAGGCUUAGGACGCUCGCACGGAAUGCCAGAGAUCCGGGUUCGACUCCCGGCCGAGGUA
Non-coding RNA from Cyphomyrmex costatus, 73 nucleotides. The record is from Rfam. Lineage: Eukaryota; Metazoa; Arthropoda; Insecta; Hymenoptera; Formicidae.